Molecule: ribosomal RNA, 854 nt
Filed under: uncultured bacterium
Lineage: Bacteria
Description: bacterial SSU rRNA
Rfam family: Bacterial small subunit ribosomal RNA
Source: RNAcentral
AGAGUUUGAUCCUGGCUCAGGAUGAACGCUGGCGGCGUGCCUAACACAUGCAAGUCGAACGAGGUCUUCGGACUUAGUGGCGGACGGGUGAGUAACGCGUGAGAAUCUGUCCACGGGACGGGGACAACGGUUGGAAACGACCGCUAAUACCCGAUGUGCCGGAAGGUGAAACUUUUAUGGCCCGUGGGGGAGCUCGCGUCCGAUUAGCUAGAUGGUAGGGUAAGAGCCUACCAUGGCGACGAUCGGUAGCUGGUCUGAGAGGAUGAGCAGCCACACUGGGACUGAGACACGGCCCAGACUCCUACGGGAGGCAGCAGUGGGGAAUUUUCUGCAAUGGGCGAAAGCCUGACGGAGCAACGCCGCGUGGGGGAGGAAGGUUCUCGGAUCGUAAACCCCUUUUCCCGGGGAAGAAGCCAGUGACGGUACCCGGGGAAUCAGCCUCGGCUAACUCCGUGCCAGCAGCCGCGGUAAUACGGGGGAGGCGAGCGUUAUCCGGAAUUAUUGGGCGUAAAGCGUCCGCAGGUGGUCUACCAAGUCCGCCGUCAAAGCGCGCGGCUCAACCGCGUACCGGCGGUGGAAACUGGAAGACUAGAGAGCAGUAGGGGUAGCGGGAAUUCCCGGUGUAGCGGUGAAAUGCGUAGAGAUCGGGAAGAACAUCGGUGGCGAAAGCGCGCUACUGGGCUGUAUCUGACACUCAGGGACGAAAGCUAGGGUAGCGAAAGGGAUUAGAUACCCCUGUAGUCCUAGCCGUAAACGAUGGAUACUAGGCGUGGCUUGUAUCGACCCGAGCCGUGCCGAAGCUAACGCGUUAAGUAUCCCGCCUGGGGAGUACGCGCGCAAGCGUGAAACUUAAA